This is a long non-coding RNA of Syngnathus typhle (broad-nosed pipefish), 768 nucleotides long. RefSeq lists it as uncharacterized. The record is from RefSeq and is a predicted model, not a curated record. Lineage: Eukaryota; Metazoa; Chordata; Actinopteri; Syngnathiformes; Syngnathidae. The transcript has 3 exons.
ACUAAUAUCAAGUUUAAUUAAUGUUUGGUGGCAUAAACUGUCAAGCUCAUCCAUUAUUUAUUGCUCAUGGCCUCUCGCUAUCACUUCCUGUACUUGGAGAUCUGAUUUCAUGCGAUUGCACAACCCAGCCCGUGCGCCUGCUACGGCUCAUUGGCCAAAAUAGUUCUGGUGCUCCCAGAUGAGAUAUGUGACGGGGCCCUAUUGACCUUUCCUUAAGGGCCGACGGGGAGCAGGAGAGAGGGGAAGAGGGAAAUUGAAUGCAAGUGAAGUAGGGACAACACAAGACCAACUACACGACUUUCCACUGCCCCAACAACACUGCCACGGUGACGGCACCCCCGGUUGGAGAUAACUGAAUUACCUAACAGGCCUUCUAGGAAGGAGCACCAGUCUGGUGGACCAUGAGGACCUCAGAUCCUCAUAGAGUGAUUUAAAGCCCACCCAUCUGGAACGAGUGUCUAUUUUGGGAGCUCAGUACAGGCCAAGUACCAGCUGCAAUGUGUAAUACACAUCACGAAUAGGACGGCACCUUACGAACAGGCAGCCUUUACUCUGGGCAAAGCGUAUAGAGAAUAUUAACGGUACGACAGGCUGGAUUGUGUUCAACUGUGGAGCUUCGACUGUUGCAUAGAGUAAGAAUUGUUUUUGUACUAGAUAAAAAAACAACAACAAAAGAGAAAUUAAAAAAAUAAAUAAUAAUAAAAACAUUGAUUAUAUUAAAGCUUUAUCCAAUUGGUGACCAAGUCAGCCAGUGUUUUUUUAAAGCAA